RNAcentral lists this unclassified non-coding RNA (247 nucleotides) under air metagenome. Its description in RNAcentral is "partial contains small subunit ribosomal RNA, internal transcribed spacer 1, and 5.8S ribosomal RNA". The stretch from base 1 to 46 matches the Rfam family "Eukaryotic small subunit ribosomal RNA", at positions 1786 to 1831 of the family's 1831-position model. The record is from RNAcentral.
AAGUCGUAACAAGGUCUCCGUUGGUGAACCAGCGGAGGGAUCAUUAAAGAGUUGCGAAACUCCUAAACCAUUGUGAACUUAUCCCUCAGCGUUGCUUCGGCGGGCGUCCCCCCGGGACGUAGCCCAAGACCCCCGAAAGGGGUGGCGGGCGCCCGCCGGAGGUACCAAACCCUUCUGUAUUAUAGUGGCACUUCUGAGUAGACAAGCAAAUAAGUCAAAACUUUCAACAACGGAUCUCUUGGUUCUG